Molecule: ribosomal RNA, 253 nt
Filed under: uncultured bacterium
Lineage: Bacteria
Description: partial 16S ribosomal RNA
Rfam family: Bacterial small subunit ribosomal RNA
Source: RNAcentral
UACGUAGGGGGCAAGCGUUAUCCGGAAUUACUGGGUGUAAAGGGAGCGUAGACGGUAAUGUAAGUCUGGAGUGAAAGGCGGGGGCCCAACCCCCGGACUGCUCUGGAAACUAUGUUACUAGAGUGCAGGAGAGGUAAGCGGAAUUCCUAGUGUAGCGGUGAAAUGCGUAGAUAUUAGGAGGAACACCAGUGGCGAAGGCGGCUUUCUGGACUGUAACUGACACUGAGGUACGAAAGCGUGGGGAGCAAACAGG